This 253-nucleotide ribosomal RNA is filed under the name uncultured bacterium. RNAcentral's name for it is "partial 16S ribosomal RNA". It matches the Rfam family "Bacterial small subunit ribosomal RNA", at positions 524 to 776 of the family's 1533-position model. The record is from RNAcentral.
UACGGAGGGUGCGAGCGUUACCCGGAUUUACUGGGCGUAAAGGGCGUGUAGGCGGUUUUCUAAGUCCGGGGCUAAAGACCAGGGCUCAACCCUGGGUUUGCCUUGGAUACUGGUAAGCGCGACGGCUGGAGGGGGCAGCGGAAUUUCCGGAGUAGCGGUGAAAUGCGCAGAUACCGGAAGGAACGCCAAUAGCGAAGGCAGCUGCCUGGACAGUACGUGACGCUGAGGCGCGAAAGCUUGGGGAGCAAACCGG